This 23-nucleotide microRNA is filed under the name Eptesicus fuscus (big brown bat). RNAcentral describes it as "efu-miR-9237b". The record is from miRBase by way of RNAcentral. Lineage: Eukaryota; Metazoa; Chordata; Mammalia; Chiroptera; Vespertilionidae.
UCUUGAUUGUUGUUGGUGUCACU